Molecule: non-coding RNA, 164 nt
Organism: Arachis ipaensis
Lineage: Eukaryota; Viridiplantae; Streptophyta; Magnoliopsida; Fabales; Fabaceae
Source: RefSeq, a predicted model, not a curated record
UUUCUUAAAACUGAAACGCGAACUCGAUACAAAGGCUCGAUAAUUAAGUAGUUAAUACUAGAGAAGGUUACGUAAUGUUCUUUCUAGUGGAAAUACCCUGACUUAAGCAAGGUUUUUUGCUGGACGGGACGUUACAAAAACACUUUUGGUGAAUCUAGAUAAUU